Molecule: ribosomal RNA, 235 nt
Filed under: uncultured bacterium
Lineage: Bacteria
Description: partial 16S ribosomal RNA
Rfam family: Bacterial small subunit ribosomal RNA
Source: RNAcentral
UGGCGGACGGGUGAGUAAUGUCUGGGAAACUGCCUGAUGGAGGGGGAUAACUACUGGAAACGGUAGCUAAUACCGCAUAACGUCGCAAGACCAAAGAGGGGGACCUUAGGGCCUCUUGCCAUCGGAUGUGCCCAGAUGGGAUUGGCUAGUAGGUGGGGUAACGGCUCACCUAGGCGACGAUCCCUAGCUGGUCUGAGAGGAUGACCAGCCACACUGGAACUGAGACACGGUCCAG